GGCCCGGUGGCAACUGGUUGACCGCUCGAACUUAAAAUUCGGGGACGCUGCGGGUUCGAAUCCCGUCUGGGCCACUA
Molecule: transfer RNA, 77 nt
Filed under: Blastopirellula marina
Lineage: Bacteria; Pseudomonadati; Planctomycetota; Planctomycetia; Pirellulales; Pirellulaceae
Also listed under: 1 other name
Description: tRNA-Leu
Rfam family: tRNA
About the family: Transfer RNA (tRNA) molecules are approximately 80 nucleotides in length. Their secondary structure includes four short double-helical elements and three loops (D, anti-codon, and T loops). Further hydrogen bonds mediate the characteristic L-shaped molecular structure. tRNAs have two regions of fundamental functional importance: the anti-codon, which is responsible for specific mRNA codon recognition, and the 3' end, to which the tRNAs corresponding amino acid is attached (by aminoacyl-tRNA synthetases). tRNAs cope with the degeneracy of the genetic code in two manners: having more than one tRNA (with a specific anti-codon) for a particular amino acid; and 'wobble' base-pairing, i.e. permitting non-standard base-pairing at the 3rd anti-codon position.
Source: RNAcentral